This 253-nucleotide ribosomal RNA is filed under the name uncultured bacterium. RNAcentral describes it as "partial 16S ribosomal RNA". It matches the Rfam family "Bacterial small subunit ribosomal RNA", at positions 524 to 776 of the family's 1533-position model. The record is from RNAcentral.
UACGUAGGGGGCUAGCGUUGUCCGGAAUCAUUGGGCGUAAAGCGCGUGUAGGCGGUUCGGUAAGUCCGCUGUGAAAGUCGGGGGCUCAACCCUCGAAUGCCGGUGGAUACUGUCGGGCUAGAGUGCGGAAGAGGCGAGUGGAAUUCCUGGUGUAGCGGUGAAAUGCGCAGAUAUCAGGAGGAACACCGGUGGCGAAGGCGGGUCUCUGGGCCGAUACUGACGCUGAGGAGCGAAAGCGUGGGGAGCGAACAGG